Mesocricetus auratus (golden hamster) is the source of this 79-nucleotide microRNA precursor. Ensembl annotates it as microRNA 147. Its record names the gene Mir147. The record is from Ensembl. NCBI's taxonomy places the organism in Eukaryota, Metazoa, Chordata, Mammalia, Rodentia, Cricetidae.
UAUGAAUCUAGUGGAAACACUUCCGCACAAACUAGAUGUUGAUGCCAGUGUGCGGAAAUGCUUCUGCUACGUUUUUAGG